Micropterus dolomieu (smallmouth bass) is the source of this 1045-nucleotide long non-coding RNA. RefSeq lists it as uncharacterized. The record is from RefSeq and is a predicted model, not a curated record. The transcript is spliced from 2 exons. Lineage: Eukaryota; Metazoa; Chordata; Actinopteri; Centrarchiformes; Centrarchidae.
AGACGGACACCAACCGCAGUGAAAACAGGCGUUUGCAUUGUGAAUCCAGCCAUGGACUGCAAUGUCCUUAGAUCGCUUUCUGCUUUUGCAUUUUAUGGUCCAGACUACUUGCCCCUCGUGUUGGAUUGCAGCUGGUGCCUUGAGUUUACCUAUAUCAGAGGCAAGUGCCCUAACUACCUUCAAACUGGCAGCUCUUAAUACUCCUGGAGCUCAGCUGGCCUUCUGCACCUUCCUCAUUACUAUCAUAUCUAUCUACAUGUGGUGAAUAGCUUAUAUGACAGAGCCUGUUCAAUUCAGAAAGCUUUAAAGCUCAACAGGUAUAAUCAGUGAUACACUGGCACAGGAGUGAAAUCAUUCCAAUGCAGUUAAAGAUAUGACCAAUACUGGAAACUUCAAACAGCUCUUCAAGCUUAAAGAGGUAAGUAAAAACAUGUUAGGGUCAUUUUUGGUGGGGUGUAGCUACUACAGAAUCAACUACACCCAAAUUAUAUUUUGCCAUUUAAUUGUUUCUGUAGAGAGCUGACAAUGUGUAAAAAGACUGCAUCUGGCCUGUUUUACCUGUGUGAUUUUAGGGAGGACCCACCACAGCAAGCCUUUCUGUAGGCCCCCUUCAACUCUUCAAGUCUUCUUCACUACUUCUUCUUCUAUAGUCUUAUUCAAUUGACACCAAUUGUAUAUGUUUUGCAUUGAAGUCAAUACAGUGAAAAAAGAGAAGUUGGUGUCCUGUUUUCCUUGGUUUUUGUGCCUUACAACAGGUUACAGGAACACCCAGUCAUGAGGAGGAUAAGGUUCUGCACAAGGACAAACCUAUGAGGUGGCACUGUGGCUUUCCAAAUAAAGUUCUGUGAUACACUUAGACUCUUAAUUGCUUGCAGUCAGUGCAUUACAGAACUUUGUUUUGGGAGUUAAUACUUUAACCUGUGGGAAAUAAAGCCUCAAACAUAUGGAAAGUUUAAGUUUACAACAUGGUGCGAUAUUCCUCUUGAUACCUCUUGAUAAGUGACUGUUUUCUUGAAUAAAAUGUAUCUCUGUUUGAAGCAUUUUU